AUCCCCGUGGUGUAGUGGUUAGCACUAUGUUCUUAUAAUCCUUCGAUUGAUAGGAGAUAUGCAUGGGUCGCCAGUUCGAUCCUGGCCGGGGAUA
Pestalotiopsis sp. NC0098 is the source of this 94-nucleotide non-coding RNA. The record is from the annotation of a GenBank genome assembly. Lineage: Eukaryota; Fungi; Ascomycota; Sordariomycetes; Amphisphaeriales; Sporocadaceae.